This 84-nucleotide microRNA precursor is filed under the name Pan paniscus (pygmy chimpanzee). RNAcentral's name for it is "mir-548 microRNA precursor family". It matches the Rfam family "mir-548 microRNA precursor family". Lineage: Eukaryota; Metazoa; Chordata; Mammalia; Primates; Hominidae. The record is from Rfam by way of RNAcentral. RNAcentral also lists the same sequence under 1 other name.
UAUUAGGUUGGUGCAAAUGUAAUUGUGGAUUUUGUCAUUGAAAAUAAUGGCAAAACCUGCCAUUACAUUUGCACCAACCUAAUA